GAUGAACGCUGGCGGCGUGCCUAAUACAUGCAAGUCGAGCGAACAGACGAGGAGCUUGCUCCUCUGACGUUAGCGGCGGACGGGUGAGUAACACGUGGAUAACCUACCUAUAAGACUGGGAUAACUUCGGGAAACCGGAGCUAAUACCGGAUAAUAUAUUGAACCGCAUGGUUCAAUAGUGAAAGACGGUUUUGCUGUCACUUAUAGAUGGAUCCGCGCCGCAUUAGCUAGUUGGUAAGGUAACGGCUUACCAAGGCGACGAUGCGUAGCCGACCUGAGAGGGUGAUCGGCCACACUGGAACGGAGACACGGUCCAGACUCCUACGGGAGGCAGCAGUAGGGAAUCUUCCGCAAUGGGCGAAAGCUUGACGGAGCAACGCCGCGUGAGUGAUGAAGGUCUUCGGAUCGUAAAACUCUGUUAUUAGGGAAGAACAAAUGUGUAAGUAACUAUGCACGUCUUGACGGUACCUAAUCAGAAAGCCACGGCUAACUACGUG
Molecule: ribosomal RNA, 497 nt
Filed under: uncultured bacterium
Lineage: Bacteria
Description: partial 16S ribosomal RNA
Rfam family: Bacterial small subunit ribosomal RNA
Source: RNAcentral